AGCUUUCUGAAUCCGUGCAGAGAUGUUAUCAAACACCAACCCACUAAGGUUGAUCAGACUCCCAAGAUAAGUGAAGUU
Non-coding RNA from Schistosoma curassoni, 78 nucleotides. Lineage: Eukaryota; Metazoa; Platyhelminthes; Trematoda; Strigeidida; Schistosomatidae. The record is from Rfam.